GUAGGGUCCAAGCGUUAAUCGGAAUUACUGGGCGUAAAGCGUGCGCAGGCGGUUGUGCAAGACCGAUGUGAACUCCCCGGGCUUAACCUGGGAAUUGCAUUGGUGACUGCACGGCUAGAGUGUGUCAGAGGGGGGUAGAAUUCCACGUGUAGCAGUGAAAUGCGUAGAGAUGUGGAGGAAUACCGAUGGCGAAGGCAGCCCCCUGGGAUAACACUGACGCUCAUGCACGAAAGCGUGGGGAGCAAACAGGAUUAGAUACCCUGGUAGUCCACGCCCCUAAACGAUGUCAACUAGUUGUUGGGGAUUCAUUUCCUUAGUAACGUAGCUAACGCGUGAAGUUGACCGCCUGGGAGUACGGUCGCAAGAUUA
RNAcentral lists this ribosomal RNA (369 nucleotides) under uncultured organism. RNAcentral describes it as "partial 16S ribosomal RNA". It matches the Rfam family "Bacterial small subunit ribosomal RNA", at positions 527 to 896 of the family's 1533-position model. The record is from RNAcentral.